AUUUAUAUAGCUUAAUAAGAGCAUAGUAUUGAAGAUACUAGGGUAAUUACUAUAAUUUAUAAAUA
This 65-nucleotide transfer RNA is filed under the name Chrysolina hyperici. RNAcentral describes it as "tRNA-Phe". The record is from RNAcentral. Lineage: Eukaryota; Metazoa; Arthropoda; Insecta; Coleoptera; Chrysomelidae.